RNAcentral lists this non-coding RNA (30 nucleotides) under Rattus norvegicus (Norway rat). The record is from RNAcentral. Lineage: Eukaryota; Metazoa; Chordata; Mammalia; Rodentia; Muridae.
UGAGCGGCCAUAGUGUCUUUAAGGCUCACU